RNAcentral lists this unclassified non-coding RNA (243 nucleotides) under Glomus sp. RNAcentral describes it as "partial contains 5.8S ribosomal RNA and internal transcribed spacer 2". The stretch from base 1 to 65 matches the Rfam family "5.8S ribosomal RNA", at positions 84 to 154 of the family's 154-position model. Lineage: Eukaryota; Fungi; Glomeromycota; Glomeromycetes; Glomerales; Glomeraceae. The record is from RNAcentral.
GUGAAUCAUCAAAUUUUUGAACGCAAAUUGCACUCUCUUCGGAGAGUAUGCUUGUUUGAGGGUAAGCCUAAAAAAAAUCGAAUUAGUGGUGUUUUCGCGGGACAAUUCGUGGGAAAUUGGGCAAUCUUAAACCUUUGGGUUUUAAGGGGCUUAAAUUUUCCUUUACGAUUCAACGAACGUUUCUAAGUUUUAUUUACACGUUUAGGGUAUCGAUCUUUAUUGGCGGUGGCGGUGGCAUGGGAU